UGGACUUGCUCCUGAUGUUACGGCGGACGGGUGAGUACACGUGGGUACCUGCCUGUAAGACUGGGAUAACUCCGGGAAACCGGGGCUAAUACCGGAUGCUUGUUUGAACCGCAUGGUUCAAACAUAAAAGGUGGCUUCGGCUACCACUUACAGAUGGACCCGCGGCGCAUUAGCUAGUUGGUGAGGUAAUGGCUCACCAAGGCAACGAUGCGUAGCCGACCUGAGAGGGUGAUCGGCCACACUGGGACUGAGACACGGCCCAGACUCCUACGGGAGGCAGCAGUAGGGAAUCUUCCGCAAUGGACGAAAGUCUGACGGAGCAACGCCGCGUGAGUGAUGAAGGUUUUCGGAUCGUAAAGCUCUGUUGUUAGGGAAGAACAAGUACCGUUCGAAUAGGGCGGUACCUUGACGGUACCUAACCAGAAAGCCACGGCUAACUA
RNAcentral lists this ribosomal RNA (440 nucleotides) under Bacillus subtilis. RNAcentral's name for it is "bacterial SSU rRNA". It matches the Rfam family "Bacterial small subunit ribosomal RNA", at positions 76 to 503 of the family's 1533-position model. The record is from RNAcentral. Lineage: Bacteria; Bacillati; Bacillota; Bacilli; Caryophanales; Bacillaceae.